UGGCCUCGGCCCGAGUUGUAAUUUGCAGAGGAUGCUUCUGGCGCGGUGCCUUCCGAGUUCCCUGGAACGGGACGCCACAGAGGGUGAGAGCCCCGUAUGGUCGGACACCAAGCCUGUGUGAAGCUCCUUCGACGAGUCGAGUAGUUUGGGAAUGCUGCUCUAAAUGGGAGGUAAAUCUCUUCUAAAGCUAAAUACCGGCCAGAGACCGAUAGCGCACAAGUAGAGUGAUCGAAAGAUGAAAAGCACCUUGAAAAGGGGGUUAAAUAGUACGUGAAAUUGUUGAAAGGGAAGCACUUAUGACCAGACUUGGGCCGGGCGGCUCAUCAGGGGUUCUCCCCUGUGCACUCCGCCCGGCACAGGCCAGCAUCGGUUCUCGUGGGGGGAUAAGACCGUCAGGAACGUAGCACCCUCCGGGGUGUGUUAUAGCCUGGCGGACGAUACCCCCGUGGGGACCGAGGUCCGCGCUCCGCAAGGAUGCUGGCGUAAUGGUCAUCAGUGACCCGUCUUGAAACACGGACCAAGGAGUCGUCCAUUAGAGCGAGCGUUUGGGUGUAAAACCCGCACGCGUAAUGAAAGUGAACGCAGGUGAGAGCUUCGGCGCAUCAUCGACCGAUCCUGAUGUUCUCGGAAGGAUUUGAGUAAGAGUUUUAACGGACGGACCCGAAAGACAGUGAACUAUGCUUGUAUAGGGUGAAGCCAGAGGAAACUCUGGUGGAGGCUCGCAGCGGUUCUGACGUGCAAAUCGAUCGUCAAAUAUGAGCAUGGGGGCGAAAGACUAAUCGAACUGUCUAGUAGCUGGUUACCGCCGAAGUUUCCCUCAGGAUAGCAGUGUUGAUCUUCAGUUUUAUGAGGUAAAGCGAAUGAUUAGGGACUCGGGGGCUAUAUAUUGCCUUCAUCCAUUCUCAAACUUUAAAUAUGUAAGAAGCCCUUGUUACUUAGUUGAACGUGGGCAUUCGAAUGUACCAACACUAGUGGGCCAUUUUUGGUAAGCAGAACUGGCGAUGCGGGAUGAACCGAACGCGGGGUUAAGGCGCCAGAGUGUACGCUCAUCAGACACCACAAAAGGCGUUAGUACAUCUUGACAGCAGGACGGUGGCCAUGGAAGUCGGAAUCCGCUAAGGACUGUGUAACAACUCACCUGCCGAAUGUACUAGCCCUGAAAAUGGAUGGCGCUCAAGCGUACCGCCCAUACCCCGCCCCCAGGGUAGAAACGAUGCCCUGGGGGAGUAGGCGGCCGUGGGGG
RNAcentral lists this ribosomal RNA (1243 nucleotides) under Diaporthe sp. RP245. RNAcentral describes it as "eukaryotic LSU rRNA". It matches the Rfam family "Eukaryotic large subunit ribosomal RNA", at positions 123 to 1397 of the family's 3401-position model. The record is from RNAcentral. Lineage: Eukaryota; Fungi; Ascomycota; Sordariomycetes; Diaporthales; Diaporthaceae.